AAUACGAUCCUUUGCUUCUGUAGACUCUGAUGAAGAACUUGAUGAUAAAUAUGAUCUUGAGAAGCCCAUCGUCUAACAGGAGCUCAGAUUAAAGACUGAUUGUCAGAGUGCAACAGCCUCUUCAACCUCGGGCCAUGUGUCUUAAUAUAGGUUUUUGUACAUGGGUGACCAGAACUAGACAGUCACUCUGCCUUAAAUCCACUAUCGCCAUGAUCAGCAGUUUGUUUAUCUCUUUCUAUGCCCACACAAGCUCUUAGUGCAAUUGAUUUUUUUGUGUGACUUAAUUUUUUUCCACUGAACAAAAAACUAGUGUUUAUGCAGUACUGCUUGAAAAAAUGAAGGAUUUUAAUGUGCAUUUUGAACUUAAUCAUCAAAUGAUAUCAGCGUUGAACACGACAUUUAUGCCACUCUUCAAAUGCUUCAGUGUAACAAAACUGAAGUUUUUGUUUUUGGCUCCUCUUCAGUAAGCUUUCUUAAAUCAUCUUAAGUAAGAAAAAUAAAUCUACUUCCUGUUGAGUUUACUUUUGCCAUGCUUACUGAAUAAGGGCUUAUGUAUCUGGUGCAGGUCUGGGACCUCCGGUUUUCUUUAAUAUUUUGAGAAUCUCCAUACAGUAUGUACCUAUCACAAAGCCUCAAGUAUGCAGGAUGAUGGCCGAUUGUAUUUUUCUUUCGUUAUGCAUUAAAACAAUUACUGUUUUUAUUAAA
Long non-coding RNA from Sinocyclocheilus anshuiensis, 705 nucleotides. RefSeq lists it as uncharacterized. The record is from RefSeq and is a predicted model, not a curated record. The transcript is spliced from 2 exons. Lineage: Eukaryota; Metazoa; Chordata; Actinopteri; Cypriniformes; Cyprinidae.